Molecule: RNA transcript, 1101 nt
Organism: Bradysia coprophila
Lineage: Eukaryota; Metazoa; Arthropoda; Insecta; Diptera; Sciaridae
Gene name: transforming growth factor beta-1-induced transcript 1 protein-like
Source: RefSeq, a predicted model, not a curated record
AUACACAAAAAUGCCUCUGUGUAGACUUUAUUGCACAAGGUAUAGUAAGAUUUUCCAGUAUUGAACGAAUCACAAACCGAAUAACGACGAGAUCCUCUCAGUUUUAUUUAAAGCAUUUUAUGUGUGUUUUGCUUGCUGGAUAUUUUUAUUCAUACAAAAUAAUAUUGGUCGACCAGUUGUGUGUUUAUAUUUUAAUAAAUUUUGAAAAACGAAUUUUCUUUUUUAAUUAUUUGAUAAUUUUGAGUUUUUUUUUUCGCUGCGAGGAUUAAGUCAAAUAUUUAGAACGGUCUGUUUGUUCGGUGUCAAUAGUUGAGUGUCAUAUGUUGGUAACGUGAAAAUAAACACGAAAAAUAUUUCAGUUCGAGUGGAUAAUUUGGUUGGAAUUACACAAAUACCAAAUUCACAAAGUCGAUAUGUCUGGUCCGGUGUUCUGCGGUAAAUGCAAAGCUGCCAUAAAAGGAAGGACGUUGAACGCAUUGGGCAAAUCAUGGCAUCCCGAACAUUUCGCAUGCCAAGUCUGCCAAAAGCCAAUCACAAACACCACAUUCAAUGAACGUGAAGGUCAACCAGUCUGUCCGCCAUGCUAUGCUCAAAAAUACUGUGAGAAAUGCUACCACUGCAAACAGCCUAUUAUUGGGAAAGUAAUCAAAGCAAUGAAUCAUUCGUACCACGAAGACCAUUUCAUGUGUGCCGGACCCUGUCAAAAGCCAAUGGCUAUGUCAGCACCAUUUUUCCAGAAAGAGGGCAAACCGUAUUGCAAACUUGACUACGACGUAUUGUUCGGAAGAUAAAGUACGCUUCACACGCAAAAUAACUGUCGCUGAACACUCUUUAACAUCUUAAUCGAAACGAAUAAUUUCUUGCCUGACCAAGAGGUUAAUGGGAUGAAACGAGUGAAAAAUAAUUAAAAUUUUCCAUUCGAUUUGACAAAGCAAGAAAUCAUUGCGCACAGAUUCAAAUCCUAAAAAAUGAGACGGAUGGCCAGCAGGGAAACCAGUUUACGAAAAUUGCAUUUCAAUUUAAUUUCGUUUGUUAAUUCAUUGUUUAUCUCUUGUUUACUUUCGUUCAAUGUGAAAUACAACUAAAAAUCAAUUUAAAAGA